ACGAACGCUGGCGGCGUGCUUAACACAUGCAAGUCGAACGGAAAGGCCCUGCUUUUGUGGGGUGCUCGAGUGGCGAACGGGUGAGUAACACGUGAGUAACCUGCCCUUGACUUUGGGAUAACUUCAGGAAACUGGGGCUAAUACCGGAUAGGAGCUCCUGCUGCAUGGUGGGGGUUGGAAAGUUUCGGCGGUUGGGGAUGGACUCGCGGCUUAUCAGCUUGUUGGUGGGGUAGUGGCUUACCAAGGCUUUGACGGGUAGCCGGCCUGAGAGGGUGACCGGCCACAUUGGGACUGAGAUACGGCCCAGACUCCUACGGGAGGCAGCAAUGGGGAAUAUUGCACAAUGGGCGGAAGCCUGAUGCAGCAACGCCGCGUGCGGGAUGACGGCCUUCGGGUUGUAAACCGCUUUCGCCUGUGACGAAGCGUGAGUGACGGUAAUGGGUAAAGAAGCACCGGCUAACUACGUG
Molecule: ribosomal RNA, 467 nt
Filed under: uncultured bacterium
Lineage: Bacteria
Description: partial 16S ribosomal RNA
Rfam family: Bacterial small subunit ribosomal RNA
Source: RNAcentral